RNAcentral lists this ribosomal RNA (243 nucleotides) under uncultured bacterium. RNAcentral describes it as "partial 16S ribosomal RNA". It matches the Rfam family "Bacterial small subunit ribosomal RNA", at positions 112 to 354 of the family's 1533-position model. The record is from RNAcentral.
CGGACGUGAGGAACCUGCCUUCCAGAGGGGGACAACAGUUGGAAACGACUGCUAAUACCGCAUGACGCAUCGAAGUCGCAUGGCUUUGAUGCCAAAGAUUUUAUCGCUGGAAGAUGGCCUCGCGUCUGAUUAGCUAGUUGGUGAGGUAACGGCCCACCAAGGCGACGAUCAGUAGCCGGACUGAGAGGUUGGCCGGCCACAUUGGGACUGAGAUACGGCCCAGACUCCUACGGGAGGCAGCAG